GGGGUUGUGGCCCAGUGGUAGAGCGCUUGCCCAUCAUGAAAGAGGCACUGGGUUCAAUCCUCAGCACCACUU
RNAcentral lists this transfer RNA (72 nucleotides) under Marmota marmota marmota (Alpine marmot). It matches the Rfam family "tRNA". From Rfam's summary of the family: Transfer RNA (tRNA) molecules are approximately 80 nucleotides in length. Their secondary structure includes four short double-helical elements and three loops (D, anti-codon, and T loops). Further hydrogen bonds mediate the characteristic L-shaped molecular structure. tRNAs have two regions of fundamental functional importance: the anti-codon, which is responsible for specific mRNA codon recognition, and the 3' end, to which the tRNAs corresponding amino acid is attached (by aminoacyl-tRNA synthetases). tRNAs cope with the degeneracy of the genetic code in two manners: having more than one tRNA (with a specific anti-codon) for a particular amino acid; and 'wobble' base-pairing, i.e. permitting non-standard base-pairing at the 3rd anti-codon position. Lineage: Eukaryota; Metazoa; Chordata; Mammalia; Rodentia; Sciuridae. The record is from Rfam by way of RNAcentral. RNAcentral also lists the same sequence under 1 other name.